RNAcentral lists this ribosomal RNA (1997 nucleotides) under Candidatus Bathyarchaeota archaeon. Its description in RNAcentral is "partial 23S ribosomal RNA". It matches the Rfam family "Archaeal large subunit ribosomal RNA", at positions 1 to 1966 of the family's 2987-position model. Lineage: Archaea; Thermoproteati; Candidatus Bathyarchaeota. The record is from RNAcentral.
AGGUCCGACACGCUACGCCGUCUGGGGAAUGGCCAGGCUUGAGCGCUGAAGAAGGGCGCGGCAAGCGGCGAAACGCCUCGGGUAAGCGCAUGCAGCUGUAGAACCGAGGAUGCCCGAAUGGGACCUCCCACUGCGAGUUCUUCGGAACUUGUGGUGCUUCCGCAUGGGAGCGGGAACCCCCCGAACGGAAACAUCUUAGUAGGGGGAGGAAAAGAAACCAAACGAGAUUCCCUGAGUAACAGCGAGCGAAAAGGGAAAAGUCCAAACCGAAUCUGGUAGGGAAACUUAUCGGAGAUGUAGGGUUGCGGACCCAGUCUCCUCUUCGUCAGCAAAGCCGAAGUGGCCUGAAAAGGCCUGCGAUACAGGGUGAAAGCCCCGUAGGCGUAAACUGGAAAGAGUUGGGCUGGAGUUCCAGAGUAUCGUACCUUAGUUGUGGUGCGAGAAACUAGGGGCCAUCAAUCCCUAAGACUAAAUACGCCUCAAGACCGAUAGCGCACUAGUACGGUGACGGAAAGUUGAAAAGCACCCCGGAAGGGGGGUGAAAAGAGCCUGAAACCAGACGGUAACAGACGUGUGCAGCCCGGAAGGGUAGACUCCUCCCAAAGGAACCCAUGGCAACAUGGCAGUACGAAGGAGGACGACCAGGGUUGCACGCUCCGUCUAGAAACACGGGCCGGGGAGUUCAUAGUUGUGGCAAGCUUAAGGGUAGAAAGCCUGUAAGCAGAGGGAAACCAAAACGCGCGCAACCAGCAUUAUGCUGGCGAGGCGCUGGGUCUGAAAAAGCCUGGAGUCACAACAUUGAAACUAGAAACCGGGCGAUCUAGCCCUGGGCAGGUUGAAGCCAGGCGAAAGCCUGGUGGAGGACCGAAAGGGUGCUGACGUGCAAUUCGCUCCGUUGACCUGGGGCUAGGGGCGAAAGACCAAUCUAGCCCGGUGAUAGCUAGUUCCCUCCGAAGUGGGUCGCAGCCCAGCCUCGAGUGAGACAGCCGAUGGGGUAGAGCACUGAUUGGAAAGUAAGGGGUCGAAAGAUCUCACUUUUCUUUCAAACUCCGAAUCUAUCGGCGUCGUAGACCUCGAGAGACGGGCCAUAGGGGGUAAGCCCCUAUGCCGAGAGGGGAACAACCCAGACUGUGGUUAAGGCCCCAAAGUGCUGGCUAAACGUUAAACUGAAAGGCGUCGUCAGCCCCAGACAGCGGGGAGGUAGGCUUAGAAGCAGCCACCCUUUAAAGAAAGCGUAACAGCUCACCCGCCGAGGCUGACGGCCCUGAAAAUGGACGGGACUAAGCCAGCCGCCGAAACCUCAGGGCACAACCGCACAGGUUGUGAUCCGGUAGGAGGGCGUCCCGACUGGGCAGAAGCCGGGCCGUGAGGUCCGGUGGACCGGUUCGGGAUUGAAAAUCCCGGUGGUAGUAACAGCAAAGAGGGGUGAAAAUCCCCUCCGCCGAAAGGGCCAGGGUUCCCCGGCAACGCGUCGUCAGCCGGGGGUAAGUCGGUCCUAAGGCAUGUCUUAACCGACCAUGCCGAAAGGGAAACCGGUUAAAAUUCCGGUACCACAGAGAUACACGCGGCAACGCAAGCCCAACACCCGACGCUUCGGGGUAGGCUGAGCAAGGCUGUCGCCUUGUUUAACCGUAUAAACCUGGGGAGUGCCGCAAUGGCGAGAACCAGGUGAAGGCGGGAAUAGCCGCCCGUUUUAGGGCGGUUCAGCCGAUCUCUGGAGCCCAUGAAAAGAGUUUUGGGAAGAACUCUCUGUGACCGUACCAAGAUCCGACACAGGUGUCCCUAGGCGAGAAACCUAAGGCGUGUCGGGUGCACACCAAGCGAGGGAACUCGGCAAUUUAGCCCUGUACCUUCGGUAUAAGGGGUGCCUGCAGUUUUGGCUUCGGCUGGAACCGCAGGUCGCAGUGGCAAGGGGGUCCCGACUGUUUAAUAAAAACACAGGAAGCCGCAAGCCCGAAAGGGUGUGAACGGCUUCUGAAUCCUGUCCAGUACAGGUA